This is a long non-coding RNA of Ostrinia nubilalis (European corn borer), 680 nucleotides long. RefSeq lists it as uncharacterized. The transcript is spliced from 2 exons. The record is from RefSeq and is a predicted model, not a curated record. Lineage: Eukaryota; Metazoa; Arthropoda; Insecta; Lepidoptera; Crambidae.
UGCGCGCCGCCGCGCUCUCGCUGCUGCCUAAACUGCUGCCUGCCGUCGCUGAUACACGCCCGGGGCUAGAAGCGAUCCUGGAGUGCCUGGAGUCGCGGCAGCCAGAAGUAGCGGCGAGCGCGCUGGACGCGCUGCCCGAGCUAGCGUGCGCCGCUCCCGAGCACGCGGGCACGCUGCUGCGCCGAACGUUCGCGCUCGCGCUCGCCUCGCGCCUGCCCGCCGAAUCCGCGCUGGCGCGCACCGUGGCUGCGCUCAACACGCUACGAGGGUGCUAGGCAGACUGACCGUUGCUACUUCCACAACCACUCAUCAUGAUACAACAAACGUGGACUGCCCUCUAAACGCUGCGGCCUCGUAUUUCUCGGUUUUGCUUUCGUUUUGCGAAUAUAAACUCAAUAUCUGACCUUGCCAGUCAUCAUAAUAAAGCUUACUUCAAAAUAAGAUUACUGAACUGAAAAUUAUUUUUAGGCAAAACACUUACAUGCCAACAUUGUUUAAAGUAUUGCAUACAUGAUUGAUGAUGAUUGAAGAUUUAAUUUACAGGCUGGUGUAAAAGACUGGCUGUACCGAUUUGAUCCAGAACUAUAAUUUUAUUUGUACCUUUUAUGGUAGAAAGAAAAAAGAAUGUAAAUAUUUUUAGUUUUAAGACAUUACAGAAAUAAAAUGAUAAUUCAAUUCUA